This 8256-nucleotide long non-coding RNA is filed under the name Gossypium barbadense (sea-island cotton). RNAcentral describes it as "long non-coding RNA (GBAR_LNC007898)". Lineage: Eukaryota; Viridiplantae; Streptophyta; Magnoliopsida; Malvales; Malvaceae. The record is from RNAcentral.
AUUUUUAGGAAAAGUGAUUAAUUUUGGAAAAUACUUUCAUUGCGGAAGCUUUGCUUGUUGUCGUGUUAUUUUGAAAUCAACUGUUGUUUUUGAAAACGCGCCCUAAAGCUAUCCAAUUUCAACAGUUAAAAUAAGUAUUACCUAUCUUAGUAAUACAUAUUAAAAACCAUCAAAAAUAAAUAAGCGGCCUUAUUACAUUUAAAAGCCCAAAACCUCAAACGUAAUUAAAAGGAUGUCCAGUUCACCAGAAGAAAAUCAAACUUUCAGAACGGGUGGCCACCUUGAAUUCCCUCACAGCUCCAAGCCCACUAUGGUCGGGGAUUACCUGCGUGGAUGAAAAUAAAAGGGAUGAGUUUGGGGAAACUCAGUGUGUAAAAUAACCCAACCAUAGUCUAAAUCAGCUCAACCCACAGAAAUAGAAUAAGUUGGCCUUAGCCCAGAACAGAAUUCAGAAUAAAGCCCAUAGGCCCAUAACAGAACAUAACAGAUAUUACAUGUUUAUGCAGAAACCCAACCAUAUCCAACCGUAUACACCCCCAUACCAACCUUACACCGUGUGGUGAGACAACUCGACCCACCCAAACCGAUACACACCACAGAAAUUUGCAGCAUGGCUUGCCAGAACAGAUAAUGUGACAGAGUCACCAGAUACAGAUAAUCGUGGCAGAGCCACCAGAACAGAUAUAUGUGGCAGAGCACCAGAUCAGAUAUUUGUUGCAUAGCUACCAGAACAUAUUGUGGCAUAGCUACCAGAACAGAUAUAUGUGGCAGAGCCACCAGAUCAGAUAAUUGUGGCAUAGCCACCAGGACGCUUCCUCCAUAAUAUAACCCAUGUCCCCAUGCAACAGAUAUAUAUAAUCAUGGAAAACAUCAUACGGAAUCAAAUCGCCAUGCUUUUCAGUCAAAAUUAACCCUACGGGUAUAACAGUAAUUUUGCAACUAGGGGUAUAACAGUAAUUUUCCAUACAUAGGGGUAUUAUAGUAAUUUAGCUACUUUUAGGGUUUUCAUGCAUAUCCUAACUAUUUACGUAUUAUCAGAACACUUACUGCGCAUACUUACCGAAUUGGGCCCGUUGGCCCAUGAACCCGAUCUUUGGCCCAUUAAGCCCAAAUUAUCAAAAUGUACGAAAUCGCGCGUACUGCAGUUUAUUACUUUAGAUUAUCAAAUAUACAAACCCAACUAUCUUACGAGCAUUCGCACACUCGCAAAUUCCCAAAAUACCGACUUUUCGGUAUUUCAGCUUUUCGGCUUUUGCCAAUCUAGUCUAUGAGAGGGUGUCAGUUACACACCUGUUUGCGACGAUAUGCUGACGAGAUCCACACACGAACCGCCUACAAUUGGAUUACUAACACGUUAAUCUAACUAUUCAAAUACAAACUACGUAUUAACCCCUUACAAUAUUCGGCCAACCACACCUACAGAUCAUAGUAAGCUUAUAAGAAAUCAAUAAGCAACUCAUUAACAAUUUUUUGUCAAUGUUUACCACAUAAUCAUAAUUUCACUGCAAGUUGUCUUCCUGAGCAAUAGUCACUAAAUUAUUUAUAACUGGAGCUACGAAACUCCAAAUCAAGUUCCGUUAAUUUUCCCUGAAAAUUGACUCAUAUAUAUUUUAUCCAUAAAAUUUUCAGAAUUUUUGGUUUAGCCAAUCAAUACCAGAUUUUCUCAAAGUUUCCCAUGUUUCACUAUUUGACUAAUCUGACCACUCUUCAUUAUGAAUCAAAUUUCUCAUUGUACAGAAUUCAAAAUAUGUUCUUGUUUAUUUCAUUAGAAACUAGACUCAAUAAGCUUUAAUUACAUAAUUUAUUUAGCUUCUAAUUGUUCUCCCACAAUUUAUGGUGAUUUUCCAAAGUCACGUUACUGCUGCUGUCCCAAGCAGAUUUAUUACCAAAUCACUCUUUCACACAUACCUUGCAUGCAUGUUAUUUAAACAUGUAUAUCACCAAUCAAUCAUUACAUAUCUAUGAUUUUACUUAAGUAUAAUCUCCAUUUCAUCAUUUUAAAGCACAACAUGUUAGCUGAUUUUUCCCUUUAACAUCUAAGGCACAUGCAUGCUCAUUUGUUUGGCUCAACUUCACCUAUCUUCCAUUUUUCAUCAAAAGAACAUGAAACAACAACCAUUUCCUUCAUUUUAAUUCAUGACUAAAUGCUCACAACACAACUAAAAAUCAAAAUAUACUUCAAGAGUUAAGGUAGAAUCAAGAAGAACUCAUGAACCUUAAAAUAGAAGCAAGGUACCAAGAACUUACCUUCAAUUUUCCUCCUCCUAAUGACCAAAUACUCAAGAGCUUUCUCCUCUCCUUUCUCUUCUCUAACUUUCAGCUAUGAUGAACAAAGAUGGACAAAACUUUGUUCUUUUCACCCUUUUUUCUUUUAAUAAAACUUCAUAUUUCAUCCAUUUAAUUCUAUAAUAUAAAAGACAUGAAAUUCUUAUCAUGAAACAUUUACCUAACCCAUUAUCAUGAAACAUUUACCUAACCCAUUAUCAUGGAACAUUUACCUAACCUAUUAUCAUUGAACCUUUACCUAACCUAUUAUCAAUUUGUAUCAAUUUGUACCAUAAAUUAUGGAUAUCAAGUGUACAUUUUGUCUACAACAACAUGAUGGCUGGCCACUUCAUGUAAAAUGAGAGGUUUGUCAUGCAAAUCCUCCUAUUUUGCACUCCUAUUUAUUUGGCCACUUCAAUUUAGCCUAUAACAUUUUCAAACAUUUUCACAUAGGUCCUAUUUCAGAAUUUCACCCCCUUUUUCUUAUGGAACAAAAAUUAAGUAAAAUUGUCAGGUUCUAUCUUAAGCUUGGGCUUUCUAGAGGCCCACUAACAUAAUUAAACCUAUGCCAACAUUCACAGGAUUCCCGAAAAUUGGGGCGUUACAACUCUACCCUCCUUAAAGAAAUUUUGUCCUCGAAAUUUACCUAAUCCAAACAGAUGAGGGUAUUGCUGUUGCAUCGUCUCUUCUGGUUCCCAAACUCAGAAGUUUCCCCUUCCUUAACUUGUUGAAAAUGAGCGACCAAAGACUCAUCGUUCAACUUUUUUUCCUUAAUCUGAUCCACCCAGGUUGGCCUCACUUGCAACUCAGCCAACAGACUUCCAUCAUCAUACAGACUCAGACGAGCAAACAUUGCUCUCAGAUCAGAUACAGUUCUACGACUUAGAGCAUCGGCUACCACAUUAGCCUUGCUUGGGUGGUACUCGAUCGAACAGUCAUAAUCCUUAAGCAACUCAAUCCAUCUCCUUUGCCUAAGGUUCAGCUCCUUCUGAGUCAACAAAUACUUAAGUCUCUUAUGGUCAGUGUAUAUAAUACACCUUUCUCCGUACAAGUAAUGUCUCCAAAUCUUAAGUGAAAAUAUCACUGCUGCCAACUCUAAAUCAUGAGUCAAAUAGUUUCCUUCAUGAGGCUUAAGCUGUCGUGAUGCAUAUGCAACCACCUUACCCUCUUGCAUUAACACGCAGCCCAAACCCACGUGUGAUGCGUCACUGUACACAGUAAAAUCAUUCCCAGACUCCGGCUAAAUUAACACAAGUGCUUCAGUCAGAACUUUCUUCAACUUCUCAAAAGCUUCUUGCUGCUUCUUAGUCCAUACAAACGAUACUCCUUUCCUUAUGAGUUUUUCAGAGGUACUGCCAUCACAGAAAAACCUUCUACAAACCUUCUGUAGUAUCCUGCCAGUCCUAGGAAACUCCGUAUUUCUGACACUGACCUAGGCGGCUUCCAUUCCAAAAUCGCUUCAAUUUUUUGAGGGUCCACUUUAAUCCCCUCAGCAGAGACCACAUGUCCUAAGAAAGUUACCUCCCUCAACCAAAAUUUACACUUGCUGAACUUCACAAAGAGUUCUUUCUCUAUUAAUACUUACAGCACUAUACAGAGAUGCUCAUCAUGUUUCGUUUUAGUUUCAGAAUAUACCAGGAUAUCGUCAAUAAAGACAACUACGAAUUGAUCUAAAAAUGGUUGGAACACAUGAUUCAUCAGAUCCAUAAACGCUGCAGGAGCGUUCGUUAGUCCAAAUGGCAUAACCAGAAACUCGUAAUGACCAUACCGAGUCCUGAAUGUCGUCUUUUGGAUAUCUGCCUCCUUGACCCUUAACUGAUGAUAUCUAGAUCGAAGGUUGAUCUUGGAAAAUACAGAAGCUCCUCUAAGCUGGUCGAAUAGAUCGUCAAUCCUUGGCAGUGGAUAUUUAUUCUUAAUCGUCAGUUUGUUCAACUGGCGAUAAUCAAUACACAUCUGCAUCGUACCAUCCUUCUUUUUCACGAAUAGCACCGGUGCUCCCCAUGGAGACACGCUUGGCCUAAUGAAGUCCCUGUCCAACAACUCUUGAAUUUGAGCCUUUAACUCCACUAACUCCUUCGAGGCCAUCCUAUACGGUGCGAUGGACACAGGCGCCGUUUCAGGCAACAAAUCUAUUCCAAACUCAACUUCUCGGUUCAGAGGCAAUCCUGGAAGCUCCUCCGGAAAAACAUCUUGGAACUCCUUUAUAGUCCUAACCUUAUCCACUAUCAGUCCCUCCUCUUCUGACUGACUUACAAAUGCCAAAUAGGCCUCACAACCUUUUCGAAUCCACUUUUCGGCUCUUAAAGCCGACACCACAUUGGACAAAAAUCCCUUCGCUCACCUAUCACCAUAACCUCCUCAUCCUUUGUGGUCCUUAACACCAUUCAUUUAGCAGCACAAUCCAGAGUUGCCUUAUGCUUAACAAGCCAGUCCAUUCCUAAAAUGAGAUCAAACUCUCCGAACGGUAACUCCAUCAGAUCUCCAGGGAAAAUCCUACCUUGAGUUUCUAAGGGUACACCCCUAUACAGUUUGUUUACCCUAACCGAGUGACCCAAAGGACUUACUACAAAUACCCCACUCACAACCUCCUCAGAGCAGUCCAAGUUGUCCAUAAUCCGUUCUGUGGCCUCCAACCAAUAUUCUGCCACAUUCGGGGCUAUACCAGACACGCCCCUAAAGAUCUCCGCUCCGUUAGCCCGAAGUCAUUCAGAAAUCGAUCCUCGAAUUCUGUUGCUCGAACUUGUCCCGGCAACCCUUUCCAGAACACGAAGCAUUACCUGUGAUAGGGCAUCAUCCCCGGUACCACGGUCAUGAGACUCUACCUCUGUUGUUGGUGGUACCGGUGCAUCCACCACCGGUAUAUGUCUCGAAGACGAAAAUCUCGCUCGAGCACUUCCUUGGCUCCGUCCACGGCCUCUUGUACUCAUAUCGUAUUUUCUUGAUUCUGAAUUUUUAUGCAUCAAUUAAUAUUCCAGUGUUUAUUACAGAUGUUUUAUGAAUCAGACAGUAGUUCAGAGUUUGUUUUCGCAGAAUCGAAGUCUAGCUACAAUUUCAGUCUCUUAUCAGAUUUUCCUAUGGUUUCACUAUCAUCCUAUCUAGAGUAUUAUAGCAGGAUUUUAGUACAGACAGAUAAGUCAGAAAAAUAUUCAGAAGAGUUCAGAGUAAUACUUACAGGCUUGGGCCGGAGAUUCGGAAUGCCACCUUCUAAAGAUCAAAAUUUUGAAAAUCGAGUUUUUCGCAUUCUUUAUAAAAUUUUCGCUUUCGAAAAUCUUUGUUUUUGUAAACCCAUUCCACAGCCGAGUUGUUGCAACCUAGGCUCUGAUACCAUUAAAUGUAGCACCCCAAACCCAGCCCAGAAGUUAUAGCCGGAUCCGGCAUGCCACAUCAAAAACGUUAAAAAAAAUUUUCCAUUCUAAGUCCAGAAAAUCGUACUUGAUGUUCAAAAGAUUAAUUCAUUAAGGGUUAAAGUGAAUGGAAGCUGUGCACUAGGUAGGAAACCAGAAAAGAGGUGGUGAGUCCAUCGGACUGCUUAAGUACCAAGCUCCCUUCAGAUCCAAUCCUAGACAUGCAUACCACCAUUGCCACACCUUAACGUCAUGGAUAUUUCUAGGAAACCGAUUUGAUUAAGUCAUUUUUAGGAAAAGUGAUUAAUUUUGGAAACUACUUUCAUUGCGAAAGCUUUGCUUGUUGUCGUGUUAUUUUGAAAUCAACUGUUGUUUUUGAAAACGCGCCCUAAAGCUAUCCAAUUUCAACAGUUAAAAUAAGUAUUACCUAUCUUAGUAAUACAUAUUAAAAACCAUCAAAAAUAAAUAAGCGGCCUUAUUACAUUUAAAAGCCCAAAACCUCAAAAGUAAUUAAAAGGAUGUUUAGUUCACCAGAAGAAAAUCAAACUUUCAGAAAGGGUGGCCACUCCGAAUUCCCUCACAGCUCCAAGCCCACUAUGGUUGGGGAUUACCUGCGUGGAUGAAAAUAAAAGGGAUGAGUUUGGGGAAACUCAGUGUGUAAAAUAACCCAACCAUAGUCUAAAUCAGCUCAACCCACAGAAAUAGAAUAAGUUGGCCUUAGCCCAGAACAGAAUUCAAAAUAAAGCCCAUAGGCCCAUAACAGAACAGAACAGAUAUUACAUGUUUAUGCAGAAACCCAACCAUAUCCAACCGUAUACACCCCCAUACCAACCUUACACCGUGUGAGGAGACAACUUGACCCACCCAACCGCUACACACCACAGAAUUUGCAGCAUGGCUGCCAGAACAGAUAAUGUGACAGAGUCACCAGAUACAGAUAAUCGUGGCAGAGCCACCAGAACAGAUAUAUGUGGCAGAGCCACCAGAUCAGAUAUUUGUGGCAUAGCCACCAGAACAGAUAUAUGUGGUAGAGCCACCAGAUCAGAUAAUUGUGGCAUAGCCACCAGGACGCUUCCUCCAUAAUAUAACCCAUGUCCCCAUGCAACAGAUAUAUAUAAUCAUGGCAUACAUCAUACAGAAUCAAAUCGCCAUGCUUUUCAGUCAAAAUUAACCAUACGGGUAUAACAGUAAUUUUACACCUAGGGGUAUAACAGUAAUUUUCCAUACAUAGGGGUAUUAUAGUAAUUUAGCUACUUUUAGGGUUUUCAUGCAUAUCCUAACUAUUUACGUACUAUCAGAACACUUACCGCGCAUACUUACCGAAUUGGGCCCGUUGGCCCAUGAACCCGAUCUUUGGCCCAUUAAGCCCAAAUUAUCAAAAUUUACGAAAUCGCGUGUACUGCAGUUUAUUACUUUAGAUUACCAAAUAUACAAACCCAACUAUCUUACGAGCAUUCGCACACUCGAAAAUUCCCAAAAUACCGACUUUUCGGUAUUUCGGCUUUUCGGCUUUUGCCAAUCUAGUCUAUGAGAGGGUGUCAGUUACACACCUGUUUGCGACGAUAUGCUGACGAGAUCCACACACGAACCGCCUACAAUUGGAUUACUAACACGCUAAUCUAACUAUUCAAAUACAAACUACGUAUUAACCCCCUACAACAUUCGGCCACCCACACCUACAGAUCAUAGUAAGCUUAUAAGAAAUCAAUAAGCAACUCAUUAACAAUUUUUUGUCAAUGUUUACCACAUAAUCAUAAUUUCACUGCAAGUUGUCUUCCUGAGCAACAGUCACUAAAUUAUUUAUAACUGGAGCUACGAAAGUCCAAAUCAAGUUCCGUUAAUUUUCCCUGAAAAUAGACUCAUAUAUCUUUUAUCCAUAAAAUUUUCAGAAUUUUUGGUUUAGCCAAUCAAUACCAGAUUUUUCUCAAAGUUUCCCAUGUUUCACUAUUUGACUAAUCUGACCACUCUUCAUUACGAAUCAAAUUUCUCAUUGUACAGAAUUCAAAAUAUGUUCUUGUUUAUUUCAUUAGAAACUAGACUCAAUAAGCUUUAAUUACAUAAUUUAUUCAGCUUCUAAUUGUUCUCCCACAAUUUAUGGUGAUUUUCCAAAGUCACGUUACUGCUGCUGUCCCAAGCAGAUUUAUUACCAAAUCACUCUUUCACACAUACCUUGCAUGCAUGUUAUUUAAACAUGUAUAUCACCAAUCAAUCAUCACAUAUCUAUGAUUUUACUUAAGUAUAAUCUCCAUUUCAUCAUUUUAAAGCACAACAUGUUAGCUGAUUUUUCCCUUUAACAUCUAAGGCACAUGCAUGCUCAUUUGUUUGGCUCAACUUCACCUAUCUUCCAUUUUUCAUCAAAAGAACAUGAAACAACAACCAUUUCCUUCAUUUUAAUUCAUGACUAAAUGCUCACAACACAACUAAAAAUCAAAAUAUACUUCAAGAGUUAAGGUAGAAUCAAGAAGAACUCAUGAACCUUAAAAUAGAAGCAAGGUACCAAGAACUUACCUUCAAUUUUCCUCCUCCUAAUGACCAAAUACUCAAGAGCUUUCUCUUCUCCUUUCUCUUCUCUAACUUUCAGCUAUGAUGAACAAAGAUGGACAAAACUUUGUUCUUUUCACCCCUUUUUCUUUUAAUAAAACUUCAU